RNAcentral lists this non-coding RNA (30 nucleotides) under Homo sapiens (human). The record is from RNAcentral. Lineage: Eukaryota; Metazoa; Chordata; Mammalia; Primates; Hominidae.
UCUGAAGAAAUAGAGAGGGGCAAGUGCAAG